UAAAAAUCUGCCCAAAGUACACUCUGUUUUGAGCUGGAGCUGUGGCUGCGACCACGUGGCACCACAAGAUUGGCCGGUGGGUCUCUUUCGCACGCUCACCGUGAACAAAGGAAAAAUAGCGGCGGCGGACUCUGGCGUUGGUGGCACCGUGGCAGCACCUCUCCGGUGGCUCUCCGACGAAGGCGAGGUGGGGGUUGGAUGCAGGGUUAGUCGGUGCUGGGGAUGGUGGCAAAAAU
Molecule: long non-coding RNA, 236 nt
Filed under: Hordeum vulgare
Lineage: Eukaryota; Viridiplantae; Streptophyta; Magnoliopsida; Poales; Poaceae
Description: long non-coding RNA (HVUL_LNC006907)
Source: RNAcentral